ACGGAGGGUGCAAGCGUUGUUCGGAAUUAUUGGGCGUAAAGCGCGUGUAGGCGGCCAGGCAAGUCGGGUGUGAAAUCCCGGGGCUCAACCCCGGAACUGCUCUCGAAACUGCCUGGCUAGAGUCCCGGAGAGGAAGGCGGAAUUCCCGGUGUAGAGGUGAAAUUCGUAGAUAUCGGGAGGAACACCAGUGGCGAAGGCGGCCUUCUGGACGGUGACUGACGCUGAGACGCGAAAGCGUGGGGAGCAAACAGG
RNAcentral lists this ribosomal RNA (252 nucleotides) under uncultured bacterium. Its description in RNAcentral is "partial 16S ribosomal RNA". It matches the Rfam family "Bacterial small subunit ribosomal RNA", at positions 525 to 776 of the family's 1533-position model. The record is from RNAcentral.